This 288-nucleotide long non-coding RNA is filed under the name Elaeis guineensis (African oil palm). Its description in RNAcentral is "long non-coding RNA (EGUI_LNC064773)". The record is from RNAcentral. Lineage: Eukaryota; Viridiplantae; Streptophyta; Magnoliopsida; Arecales; Arecaceae.
CAACUUGUUGGGUCAUACCCAUAGGUGCUUCAACCAUAGUCUAUACUUGGUUGAUGUAUAGGGAGUUCAUUUCAGAAGGCAUGGUUUCAAGCCAUCUGUCAGAGUCUCUACUUAUGACAAUCUCUGAAUAGGUCAAAGAAAUAUUAUUCACAAUAAUGUAUGGUGUAUAGUCAUUCUCAAUGACAAAUCCAUAUUUGAGUGGUACAUUACGUACUCGAAUUGACCUUUAGUGAGGAGGUGUGUUUCAUGGUUGUGCCUCAUCAAUGAGCACAUAUGAUCGAGAGUCAA